RNAcentral lists this ribosomal RNA (298 nucleotides) under uncultured bacterium. RNAcentral describes it as "partial 16S ribosomal RNA". It matches the Rfam family "Bacterial small subunit ribosomal RNA", at positions 334 to 629 of the family's 1533-position model. The record is from RNAcentral.
UUGUCCUACGGGAGGCAGCAGUGAGGAAUAUUGGUCAAUGGGCGAGAGCCUGAACCAGCCAAGUCGCGUGAAGGAUGACGGCCCUAUGGGUUGUAAACUUCUUUUGUCAGGGAGCAAUUGGGUCCACGCGUGGGCUUAGCGAGAGUACCUGAAGAAAAAGCAUCGGCUAACUCCGUGCCAGCAGCCGCGGUAAUACGGAGGAUGCGAGCGUUAUCCGGAUUUAUUGGGUUUAAAGGGUGCGCAGGCGGAAGAUCAAGUCAGCGGUAAAAUUGAGAGGCUCAACCUCUUCGAGCCGUUG